Molecule: non-coding RNA, 129 nt
Filed under: Pelosinus sp. UFO1
Lineage: Bacteria; Bacillati; Bacillota; Negativicutes; Selenomonadales; Sporomusaceae
Also listed under: 1 other name
Description: FMN riboswitch aptamer (RFN element)
Rfam family: FMN riboswitch aptamer (RFN element)
About the family: The RFN element is a highly conserved domain that is found frequently in the 5'-untranslated regions of prokaryotic mRNAs that encode for flavin mononucleotide (FMN) biosynthesis and transport proteins.
Source: Rfam by way of RNAcentral
AAACAUCUUCAGGGCAGGGUUUAAUUCCCGACCGGUGGUAAGCAGUGGAUUCUGCAAGCCCACGAACCGCAAGGUUGAUUUGGUGUAAUUCCAAAGCCGACAGUAUAGUCUGGAUGAAAGAAGAUAUAC